RNAcentral lists this ribosomal RNA (497 nucleotides) under uncultured bacterium. RNAcentral describes it as "partial 16S ribosomal RNA". It matches the Rfam family "Bacterial small subunit ribosomal RNA", at positions 28 to 507 of the family's 1533-position model. The record is from RNAcentral.
GAUGAACGCUGGCGGCGUGCCUAAUACAUGCGAGUCGAGCGAACGGACGAGAAGCUUGCUUCUCUGAUGUUAGCGGCGGACGGGUGAGUAACACGUGGAUAACCUACCUAGAAGACUGGGAUAAGUUCGGGAAACCGGAGCUAAUACCGGAUGAUAAUGUGAACAGCAUGGUUCAAAAGUGGAAGACGGUCUUGCUGUCACUUAUAGAUGGAUCCGCGCUGCAUUAGCUAGUUGGUAAGGUAACGGCUUACCAAGGCAACGAUGCAUAGCCGACCUGAGAGGGUGAUCGGCCACACUGGAACUGAGACACGGCCCAGACUCCUACGGGAGGCAGCAGUGGGGAAUCUUCCGCAAUGGGCGAAAGCCUGACGGAGCAACGCCGCGUGAGUGAUGAAGGUCUUCGGAUCGUAAAACUCUGUUAUUAGGGAAGAACAUAUGUGUAAGUAACUGUGCACAUCUUGACGGUACCUAAUCAGAAAGCCACGGCUAACUACGUG